This 492-nucleotide ribosomal RNA is filed under the name uncultured bacterium. Its description in RNAcentral is "partial 16S ribosomal RNA". It matches the Rfam family "Bacterial small subunit ribosomal RNA", at positions 29 to 507 of the family's 1533-position model. The record is from RNAcentral.
AGUGAACGCUGGCGGUAGGCCUAACACAUGCAAGUCGAACGGCAGCACAGUAAGAGCUUGCUCUUACGGGUGGCGAGUGGCGGACGGGUGAGGAAUACAUCGGAAUCUACUUUUUCGUGGGGGAUAACGUAGGGAAACUUACGCUAAUACCGCAUACGACCUACGGGUGAAAGCAGUGGAUCUUCGGACCUUGCGCGAUUGAAUGAGCCGAUGUCAGAUUAGCUAGUUGGCGGGGUAAAGGCCCACCAAGGCGACGAUCCGUAGCUGGUCUGAGAGGAUGAUCAGCCACAUUGGAACUGAGACACGGUCCAGACUCCUACGGGAGGCAGCAGUGGGGAAUAUUGGACAAUGGGCGCAAGCCUGAUCCAGCCAUACCGCGUGGGUGAAGAAGGCCUUCGGGUUGUAAAGCCCUUUUGUUGGGAAAGAAAAGCAGCAGGUUAAUACCCCGCUGUUCUGACGGUACCCAAAGAAUAAGCACCGGCUAACUUCGUG